CCUACGGGAGGCAGCAGUGAGGAAUAUUGGUCAAUGGACGAGCGUCUGAACCAGCCAAGUAGCGUGAAGGAUGACUGCCCUAUGGGUUGUAAACUUCUUUUAUAUGGGAAUAAAAUGUUCCACGUGUGGGAUUUUGUAUGUACCAUAUGAAUAAGGAUCGGCUAACUCCGUGCCAGCAGCCGCGGUAAUACGGAGGAUCCGAGCGUUAUCCGGAUUUAUUGGGGUUAAAGGGAGCGUAGGUGGAUUGUUAAGUCAGUUGUGAAAGUUUGCGGCUCAACCGUAAAAUUGCAGUUGAAACUGGCAGUCUUGAGUACAGUAGAGGUGGGCGGAAUGCGUGGUGUAGCGGUGAAAUGCUUAGAUAUCACGAAGAACUCCGAUUGCGAAGGCAGUUCACUGGACUGCAACUGACACUGAGGCUCGAAAGUGUGGGUAUCAAACAGGAUUAGAUACCCCUGUAGUC
RNAcentral lists this ribosomal RNA (460 nucleotides) under uncultured bacterium. Its description in RNAcentral is "partial 16S ribosomal RNA". It matches the Rfam family "Bacterial small subunit ribosomal RNA", at positions 338 to 795 of the family's 1533-position model. The record is from RNAcentral.